GAUCCUGGCUCAGGAUGAACGCUGGCGGCGUGCCUAACACAUGCAAGUCGAACGAGGUAUUUUGAUUGAAGUUUUCGGAUGGAUUUCAAGAUACCGAGUGGCGGACGGGUGAGUAACGCGUGGGUAACCUGCCUCAUACAGGGGGAUAACGGUUAGAAAUGACUGCUAAUACCGCAUAAGCGCACAGUACCGCACGGUACAGUGUGAAAAACUCCGGUGGUAUGAGAUGGACCCGCGUCUGAUUAG
RNAcentral lists this ribosomal RNA (246 nucleotides) under uncultured bacterium. Its description in RNAcentral is "partial 16S ribosomal RNA". It matches the Rfam family "Bacterial small subunit ribosomal RNA", at positions 15 to 244 of the family's 1533-position model. The record is from RNAcentral.